AUGGACCCCACCUUCACACUGCAGAAACUGCCCACUCUUUCACUUCCAGUCUUCCUGAUUGAAGAAUCUUCUAGGCCACAUCCUCGAGCUGUAUCCAAGGAAGUCUGUAAAUGUGGCAGGCUUGUUACCUGCAAGAUGCCCUUUAAGGGUCUUAUGGAAGUACUUGAAACCCCCUGGCUGGAGACACUGGAUGAUGUUGACUCAACCCCAAUCCUAUACCUAAGAAGUGACAAACCCGAGGCUUGGCUGAGACUGCAAGGAAGAAUGCCAAAAGACUUUUCCAGAAAUAGUACAGUGACCAUGUCACUUUCAGUUCAACAAGUCUCUCCUUCCCUACACAGCCAAGUUUAG
Molecule: long non-coding RNA, 351 nt
Filed under: Canis lupus familiaris (dog)
Lineage: Eukaryota; Metazoa; Chordata; Mammalia; Carnivora; Canidae
Description: lncRNA (ENSCAFG00030009677.1)
Source: RNAcentral